UUCCGGAGGGGGGGCCUGCGGAGGGAUCAUUACCGAGUUUACAACUCCCAAACCCAAUGUGAACGUUACCAAACUGUUGCCUCGGCGGGAUCUCUGCCCCGGGUGCGUCGCAGCCCCGGACCAAGGCGCCCGCCGGAGGACCAACCUAAAACUCUUAUUGUAUACCCCCUCGCGGGUUUUUUUAUAAUCUGAGCCUUCUCGGCGCCUCUCGUAGGCGUUUCGAAAAUGAAUCAAAACUUUCAACAACGGAUCUCUUGGUUCUGGCAUCGAUGAAGAACGCAGCGAAAUGCGAUAAGUAAUGUGAAUUGCAGAAUUCAGUGAAUCAUCGAAUCUUUGAACGCACAUUGCGCCCGCCAGUAUUCUGGCGGGCAUGCCUGUCCGAGCGUCAUUUCAACCCUCGAACCCCUCCGGGGGGUCGGCGUUGGGGAUCGGCCCUCCCUUAGCGGGUGGCCGUCUCCGAAAUACAGUGGCGGUCUCGCCGCAGCCUCUCCUGCGCAGUAGUUUGCACACUCGCAUCGGGAGCGCGGCGCGUCCACAGCCGUUAAACACCCAACUUCUGAAAUGUGACCUCGGAUCAGGUAGGAAGCCGAGUUCU
This 595-nucleotide ribosomal RNA is filed under the name Trichoderma atroviride. RNAcentral's name for it is "eukaryotic LSU rRNA". The stretch from base 235 to 388 matches the Rfam family "5.8S ribosomal RNA". The record is from RNAcentral. Lineage: Eukaryota; Fungi; Ascomycota; Sordariomycetes; Hypocreales; Hypocreaceae.